AUUGAACGCUGGCGGCAUGCUUUACACAUGCAAGUCGAACGCGAGUGGAGGGCAACUUUCACUUGAGUGGCGAACGGGUGAGUAAUGCAUCGGAACGUACCCUGUAGUGGGGGAGUAACGCCGGGAAACCGGACGCUAAUACCGCAUAUUUCUCUAUGGAGGAAAGUGGGGAGUCCGCAAGGACCUCACGCUAUGGAGCGGCCGAUGUCCGAUUAGCUAGUUGGUGGGGUAAUGGCCACCAAGGCUGCGAUCGGUAGCUGGUCUGAGAGGAUGAUCAGCCANACUGGGACUGAGACACGGCCCAGACUCCUACGGGA
This 317-nucleotide ribosomal RNA is filed under the name uncultured bacterium. RNAcentral describes it as "bacterial SSU rRNA". It matches the Rfam family "Bacterial small subunit ribosomal RNA", at positions 30 to 346 of the family's 1533-position model. The record is from RNAcentral.